Molecule: long non-coding RNA, 851 nt
Organism: Trichomycterus rosablanca
Lineage: Eukaryota; Metazoa; Chordata; Actinopteri; Siluriformes; Trichomycteridae
Exons: 5
Source: RefSeq, a predicted model, not a curated record
AGGGGCAUUUAAACGAUGCGAAACUCAUUAUUAACUCAUUAAGAUAAAGAAGAUGAUGAAGAACCUGUUCACGUUGUGGGCGUUGCAGUUUUUCUUUAACGAGAGGCCCAGCCACCUAAUGUGGCUACUGGCCGGAGCCGCCUUGGGGUCUGCGGCCAUUUAUUUCUUUGGCCCACAAAACAGGAGGUCUGGACAAGGUUAGCUGGUGCUGAACUAUAGAGCCCUGUCGCCGGAUCUGAAGGCGAUGUUCCAUUCUUUAAGCAGCAGUUGGACCUCUCUGGUCAUCCAGGGCUUCUGGUCAGGAUAGACUCGGUUUGUCCACUGUGACCAUGUCUGUGCAGUGCUGGUCUUCAAAAACGUCCCAACAUGUACUGCUGAGAGGCUCCAUCAGGUGCUAAACGUGCAGCUGAACAUACGUCCGGCCUCCACUGUUGGAGUUUUGUUUGCACUCGUGCACCAAGAUACUGUGCCAUUCGCCAUCUCCAUUUCUGACUAUCAUUCUGGAAAGAUGAAGUGGACGCAGACGUUUCUCUGGUCUCCACACCAGUUUCUGCCUCCUACGUCGGCUGCAUGGACGUCACCGUUAACGGCCGGCUGUUGGACAUGGACGAGGCCCAGCACAAGCACAACGAUAUCCAUUCCCAUUCCUGCCUGGUUCCCCACCAGUGAAAAAAAAGUACUAAUUUUGCGAGGACCAAUCGGAAGACAGGGCGGUCCUGGACCCAGCUUAAGCCUAGUCCUAGAACCGAAAUGCCUUUAAAAGGAAAAUUAGUUCAAGCCGAAGCUUGAUACGGUUCUCACUUAGCCACAUGCCCAACGUUUUCCCAAAGCAAAAACACUCUUUAAACUGG